GACGAACGCUGGCGGCGUGCUUAACACAUGCAAGUCGAACGAAGUGGCGAACGGGUGAGUACUACGUGGGUAACCUGCCCUCCUUUUUGGGAUAAGCCUUGGAAACGGGGUCUAAUACCGAUUAACGGGGGAUGGGCUCGCGGCCUAUCAGCUUGUUGGUGGGGUGAUGGGCUACCAAGGCGGUGUCGGGUAGCCGGCCUGAGAGGGUGAACGGCCACAUUGGGACGGAGAGACGGCCCAGACUCCGACGGGAGGCAGCAGUGGGGGAUAUUGCACAAUGGGCGAAAGCCGGAUGCAGCGAGGCCGCAGGGGGGAUGAAGGCUGUCGAGUUGUAAACCUCUGUCGCUAUCGAACGGGUAGUGAGAGAAGAAGCGCCGGCUAACUACGUGCCAGCAGCCGCGGUAAUUC
Molecule: ribosomal RNA, 408 nt
Filed under: uncultured bacterium
Lineage: Bacteria
Description: partial 16S ribosomal RNA
Rfam family: Bacterial small subunit ribosomal RNA
Source: RNAcentral